This 449-nucleotide ribosomal RNA is filed under the name uncultured bacterium. RNAcentral describes it as "partial 16S ribosomal RNA". It matches the Rfam family "Bacterial small subunit ribosomal RNA", at positions 29 to 523 of the family's 1533-position model. The record is from RNAcentral.
AACGAACGCUGGCGGCAGGCCUAACACAUGCAAGUCGAACGCCGUAGCAAUACGGAGUGGCAGACGGGUGAGUAACGCGUGGGAACCUUCCCUAUGGUUCGGAAUAGCUCAGGGAAACCUGGGGUAAUACCGGAUAAGCCCUUCGGGGGAAAGAUUUAUCGCCAUUGGAUGGGCCCGCGUCGGAUUAGCUAGUUGGUGGGGUAACGGCCUACCAAGGCGACGAUCCGUAGCUGGUCUGAGAGGAUGAUCAGCCACACUGGGACUGAGACACGGCCCAGACUCCUACGGAAGGCAGCAGUGGGGAAUAUUGGACAAUGGGCGAAAGCCUGAUCCAGCCAUGCCGCGUGAGUGACGAAGGCCUUAGGGUUGUAAAGCUCUUUUGCCGGGGAAGAUAAUGACGGUACCCGGAGAAUAAGUCCCGGCUAACUUCGUGCCAGCCGCCGCCGUAA